UACGGAGGGUGCAAACGUUGCUCGGAAUCAUUGGGCGUAAAGCGCACGUAGGUGGUCCGUUAAGUCGGGAGUGAAAGCCCUCGGCUCAACUGAGGAAGUGCUUUCGAAACUGGCGGACUUGAAUACUGGAGAGGAUCGCGGAAUUCCCGGUGUAGAGGUGAAAUUCGUAGAUAUCGGGAGGAACACCAGCGGCGAAGGCGGCGAUCUGGACAGAUAUUGACACUGAGGUGCGAAAGCGUGGGGAGCGAACAGG
Molecule: ribosomal RNA, 253 nt
Filed under: uncultured bacterium
Lineage: Bacteria
Description: partial 16S ribosomal RNA
Rfam family: Bacterial small subunit ribosomal RNA
Source: RNAcentral